CAAUUCAAUUUCCUGGGCUAAGUACCAACAUCAAAAAGUGGUGCUAAGAGUAAAUAGAAACUUUAUAGUGUUAACACAAUGGUCUUGACAUAAAAAAACUCUUUCCGCUCACAAAUGCUCCCUCCAUUCACAAAUCUAAAAUGUUUAACUCUUUUGUGAACAGAGGGAAUAUCCAAUAUAAAUAUGGGUACACAAAUAAAGGUUGACAUAUGACCCAUCUGAACAACCGCAUUAACACUAUAAAGGGUACUCCCUCUGUUUAACAGAGGAGUACCCUCAAAAGAAAACACAAUCGUGUAGACAUAAAGAACUAACAAUGCAACUCCCUACUAGCAAUUUGAGCCAACUAAUGAGCAACUCUACUACACAUCUCUAUAUACAAUGCAGAAGCACACCCAGCACCAUUUUACGCUUUGAUGUCCUUUAUAAUGACUCCAUCCUGCUCUGCUCUAUCAGGAGUUCGAGGGUUCAGCGCUUCCACCACAACCCUGGCACCAGCGUCUUUAAUCUUUAAUCUAAACGUUUAUGGAUAAGUGUGCCACAAUAUAGAACGCCGAAAGCAACAAAUGCAUUGGAAGUAAUCCUUAUUUUCCUUCGAAACGCGUCUCCAUUCCUGUAGGACAGAAAGAAAAAAAACUUUUGAGGAAGCGAGCAACUUCCUACAAAAUUAUAACUGCAUAUGAUUGAUGAUUAUUACGCUUUAAUCUGUGAUUCAACUGAAGGUUCGCCACUGGUGGUCGUCUUGGAAGAGAAAGUUCGCCCAGCCCCUGUAGCUGGACGCACAGAUGCUGGCUUCAUGAUGUGAUUUAUGUUUACUGAGUUCACACCAGUCCUUGAGCAGCUUCUUGUAACAAGCUCACGAGGACAUGGAGAGGUGUUCAAGUACCUUGCUGUCUGCGUGUGGAUUAGACAGGAUAUAUAAGAAGUCAGAACAUGCAACUAAAGUAAAUAUUUAUUUUUUGCCAAACCAAGAGAAAGGAAAUACCACUGCCGAAUCAAGAAAUCAGAUUAAUUCUGAAGUGGAAGAUUACAGUUUUUUAGAGAGAAAAAAUAACUAUAGGUUCCGCUAAUUUUUUCUUUCUUUUGCAAAUUAUGCAGGACUCAAGCAUUCACUUCAGAAGGUGAGAAGCACCAGGUUAAUCCUAGAACUGAACCUAGGCGAGGGUUAAUCCUAGAACUGAACCUAGGCCACGUCUUCUAAAACAUACAGAAAUGAAGCAAGUAAUCUAUCAACUUACAAAGCCAUGGAGCCCAUUGUUAUUGGGGAUCGCCAGUCUAGGAUGGAGACCUCCACUAAGAGCAUCACUGAGAGACGCAACACCGCCUUCCUGGAACCAGCAUGGAAGGAAAUUUCAUAAGUUUCAUAAUAUUGCAUGGAGGAAGUUUCAUUAAUUUGCCAAUAUCGCGUGGAAAAAAGAAACCGAGAUUUCUGCAGCAUGGGCUAUUAAUUCAGUUUGACAGAUAGACUGAACGGAACAAUAACAACUAAGGUUGUGUUUGGACAUAGAGUGUUUUAAAAACGACAGUAUCCCAAAACCAUAGUAUUAUAACCUGUUGGCACUAAAUACCACAGUAUACAAAUACUACAGUAAUUUGCAGUAUUAGAAAAACCGAGGGGCGUUUAGCAGUUUGCAGAAUUUAGCAAAGUACAGUACAUUUUUAAUUUAUGUCAAGUGACUUCGUUUUGAAUUAUGUCACAUGGCUAUCAUUAAAAAAACAAUUCCAAUAACUUUGUGUCGGGGCAUGCAUAAUUUGGUUUAGCACAUGUUACGCAUGUAUUACAAAUCCACAUUUAUAUAUCUAUGUGUGUCAAGCCUUCAAGUUAUGCUUGUUUUAAUCUACUUGUGGAUAAAGCAGCUACACGCUAGAUACUAGAUUCAAAUUUACACGUGAAGGCUAGCUGUAGGUUCAUAUACAUAAGAAUCAGAAGGCACGAAAAAACAGAUCACAUCUAGGGUUCACAUUUCGUUGCCAGGGAGUUGCGCGCCGUAAAAAUAUGUUUUUUUUCAGAAACUUUGCUGUUCUCAGAUAGUACAACUCUAAAAAUAGUUUGUAUCGAAACGGGACGCGAGAAUUUUCCGUGCGGAAUAGGACGAAGAUUGAAGGGCGGAGUAUACAUACCGAGAAAGAUCCGGCCAGCUGGGAGUAUGAUUUCUUCAGCAACACCCGCAAGGCCAUCGCGGAUCGAGGCGUGGCGCUGUACAAAAAUCUGCGAUGCCCCCACGAACGAUUUGCUCGGCCCAACCGAUGAAACGAUUUGUUAUCCCUGCUGCAUAUAAACUACGUAAUCAGGAGGCAAGACCUUGCGCGGUACCGAAGGUCGAUCCGUGUUUGGAUUCAGUUACAGGUCAGCCGCCGCUCUCGCAGCUUCCGGAAUCCAGAGCAGAGAGGAGAGGAGAUAGGUCUCCUUGCGAGUUGCGACGCCAGCGAACACAACGGAUAUGGGCCAAAAAAAUAUUAAAAGCCCAUCUUUGCCAGCGGCUCGCCAGAUGAAAACUGAAACCUGAUGGUCAAAAACUAUUUGGCGCCUGUUGUAGCGUGGGAGCAACUAGUAACGAGCGGUUCGGGAGCGCCCCGCACGUGACAAGUGUCGCCGGCGGAGCGCUCCCGCUAGGGAAAAACCAGGUGGCGGGGUUGGUUUCUGGUUUUUCCUUUUCGGUUUGUGGUUUUGUGCAUUUUGCACUUUGACCUUCAUACUAUCACAUUUUUUCGUUUACCCUUUCCGCACGAAAACACAAAAAAUACCAGUUCGCGCGCUUGGUUCCCUGUUUUCCUUUUUUGUUUCCCUUUUAGUUUUCAUUAUAUUUCCGGGUAACGGAGAUUUAUGGGGCAGUUACAGGCGGGGACUACCAACACUAUCAAAUGUGACCUUUCAAGUAAUGAAAAAAAAGCAACUUUUUAAUGUAAAACGGCAGUCUUCAGAAUUGUUCAACCGUGUGACUUCUUUAUAGGCACAGGUGAACACUAGGAAAGGCACGGGUGUAUAACUUUACUAAAUUGAAGAAAAGCGCCUCCGGCGCGAGGGAACCUCCUACUCGCCUUCGGCUCGUUUAAUUUUCAUAAACAUCNNNNNNNNNNNNNNNNNNNNNNNNNNNNNNNNNNNNNNNNNNNNNNNNNNNNNNNNNNNNNNNNNNNNNNNNNNNNNNNNNNNNNNNNNNNNNNNNNNNNNNNNNNNNNNNNNNNNNNNNNNNNNNNNNNNNNNNNNNNNNNNNNNNNNNNNNNNNNNNNNNNNNNNNNNNNNNNNNNNNNNNNNNNNNNNNNNNNNNNNNNNNNNNNNNNNNNNNNNNNNNNNNNNNNNNNNNNNNNNNNNNNNNNNNNNNNNNNNNNNNNNNNNUUCAUAAACAUCUUGAAGGGGGCAUAGGUCGAAGUGUGUGUUGGUCGUGCAGCGUGCUGGUUCGUGCGGCGCGUUGUCCGUCGCGGUGUGACACGUCGCCUCCGGCGCGAGGGAACCUCCUGCUCGCCUUCGGCUCGUUUAAUUUUCAUAAACAUCUUGAAGGGGGGCAUAGGUCGAAGUGUGUGUUGGUCGUGCAGCGUGCUGGUUCGUGCGGCGUGUUGUCCGUCGCGGUGUGACACGGUGCCUCCGGCGCGAGGGAACCUCCUGCUCGCCUUCGGCUCGUUUAAUUAUCAUAAACAUCUGAUACGUUCAUUUUGCAUCAUGCUUUUAUAUCAAUAUUUAUUGCAUUAUGGGCUGUUAUUACGCAUUAUAUCUCAAUACUUAUGGCUAUUUUUUCUUAUUUUUACAAGGUUUACCAUGAAAAGGGGGAAUACCGGCAGCUGGAAUUCUGGCUGGAAAAGGAGCAAACGUUGAAAACCUAUUCUACACAGCUCCAAAAGUCCUGAGACUCCACGAAACAACUUUUUGGAUUUAAUAAGAAUUUCUGAGCGAAAGAACUAGGCCAGGGGCCCCACACCCUGUCCAGGAGACAGGGGCGCCCCCCUAUAGGGCGCGCCCCUAUCUCCUGGGCCCCCUGGUGGGCCUCCGGCGUCCAUCUUCUGCUAUAUCAUCACUUUUACCCUGGAAAAAAUCGUGGGCAAGCUUACGGGACGAAACUCCGUUGUCACGAGGCGAAACCUUGGCGGAAUCAAUCUAGGGCUCUGGCGGAGCUGUUCUGCGGGGAAACUUCCCUCUGGGAGGGGGAAAUCAUCACCAACGUCAUCACCAACGAUCCUCUCAUCAGGAGGGGGUCAAUCUCCAUCAACAUCUUCACCAGCACCAUCUCCUCUCAAAACCCUAGUUCAUCUCUUGUAUCCAAUCUUGUAUCAAAACCACAAAUUGGUACAUGUGGGUUGCUAGUAGUGUUGAUUACUCCUUGUAGUUGAUGCUAAUUGGUUUACUUGGUGGAAGAUCAUAUGUUCAGAUCCUUUAUGCAUAUUAUUACUCCUCUGAUUAUGAACAUGAAUAUGCUUUGUGAGUAGUUACGUUUGUUCCUGAGGACAUGGGUGAAGCCUUGCUAUUAGUAGUCAUGUGAAUUUGGUAUUCGUUCGAUAUUUUGAUGAGAUGUAUGUUGUCUUUUUCUCUAGUGGUGUUAUGUGAACGUCGACUACAUGAUACUUCACCAUUAUUUGGGCCUAGAGGAAGGCAUGGGGAAGUAAUAAGUAGAUGAUGGGUUGCUAGAGUGACAGAAGCUUAAACCCUAGUUUAUGCGUUGCUUCGUUAGGGGCUGAUAUGGAUCCAUAUGUUUAAUGUUGUGGCUAGGUUUACCUUAAUACUUCUUUUGUAGUUGCGGGCGCUUGCAAUAGGGGUUAAUCAUAAGUGGGAUGCUUGUCCAAGUUAGGGCAGCACCCAAGUACCGGUCCACCCACAUAUCAAAUUAUCAAAGUACCGAGUGCGAAUCAUAUGAGCGUGAUGAAAACUAGCUUGACGAUAAUUCUCAAUGUGUCCUCGGGAGCUCCUUUCUCAUUAUUAGAAAUUGUCCAGGCUUAUCCUUUGCUACAUAAAGGAUUGGGCCACCUUGCUGCACUUUACUUACUUUAUUUACUUGUUACUCGUUACUAUUUAUCUUAUCACAAAACUAUCCAUUACCUACAAUUUCAGUGCUUGCAGAGAAAAUCUUACUGAAAACCACUUAUCAUUUCCUACUGCUCCUCGUUGGGUUCGACACUCUUACUUAUCGAAAGGAUUACGAUAGAUCCCCUAUACUUGUGGGUCAUCAAGACUCUUUUCUGGCGCAGUUGCCGGGGAGUGUAGCGCUUUUGGUAAGUGGAACUUGGUAAGGAAACAUUUAUAUAGUGUGCUAAAAUUUUCUGUUACUUGUCACUAUGGAAACUAAUCCUUUGAGGGGCUUGUUUGGGGUAUCUUCACCCCAACCAGAAGAGCAAAGAGUUGCUCCUCAACCUACUGAACUUUAUGAAAAUAUUUAUUUUAAGAUUUCUUCAGGUAUGAUAGAGAAAUUGCUAGCUAAUCCAUUUGCAGGAGAUGGAACAUUGCAUCCCGAUUUACACCUUAUCUUUGUGGAUGAAGUUUGUGGAUUAUUUAAGCUUGCAGGUAUUCCCGAUGGUGUUGUCAAAAGGAAGGUCUUCCCUUUAUCUUUAAAGGGAGAUGCAUUGACAUGGUAUAGGCUAUGUGAUGAUACAAGAUCUUGGAAUUAUAAGCGAUUGAAGUUGGAAUUUCACUAGAAGUUCUAUCCUAUGCAUCUUAUUCAUCGUGAUCGUAAUUACAUAUAUAAUUUCUGGCCUCACGAAGGAGAAAGCAUCGCUCAAGCUUGGGGAGGCUUAAGUCAAUGUUAUAUUCAUGCCCCAAUCAUGAGCUCUCUCGGGAAAUGAUUAUUCAGAACUUUUAUGCUCGGCUUUCUCUUGAUAAUCGCAACCUGCUCGAUACCUCCUGUGCUGGUUCUUAUAUGCUGAAGACUAUUGAUUUCAAAUGGGACUUAUUGGAAAUAAUUAAACGCAACUCUGAAGAUUGGGGUUCCGACGAUGGUAAGGAGUCAGGUAUGACACCUAAGUUCGAUUGUGUUAAAUCUUUUAUGGAUACCGAUGUUUUUCGUGGAUUUAGCGCUAAGUAUGGGCUUGACUCUGAGAUAGUAGCUACCUUUUGUGAAUCUUUUGCUACUCACGUUGAUCUCCCUAAGGAGAAGUGGUUUAAUUAUAAUCCUCCUGUUGAAGUGAAAGUAGUUACACCUAUUACAGUCGAAGAAAAGACUAUUACCUAUAGUGAUCCUAUUGUUCCUACUGCUUAUGUUGAAAAACCUCCUUUUCCUAUUAGGAUAAAGGAUCAUGCUAAAGCUUCGACUGUUGUUCGUAAGAGUAAUACUAGGACUUAUACACCUCCUGAGCAAAUUAAUGUUGAACCUAGUAUUGCUAUGGUUAAAGAUCUCUUGGAUGAGGACUUAGAUGGGCAUGUUAUUUCUUUCUUGGGUGAGACUGCUAAUAUUGCUAGACCUGAUACUAAGACACGUAGACCUGUCGUAGGCAUGCCUGUUAUUUCUGUUAAAAUAGGAGAUCAUUGUUAUCAUGGCUUAUGUGAUAUGGGUGCUAGUGCUAGUGCGAUACCUUAUGAUCUUUAUAAAGAAAUUAUGCACGACAUUGCACCCGUUGAAUUAGAAGACAUUGAUGUUACUAUUAAGCUUGCUAAUAGGGACACCAUUAAACCUAUUGGGAUUGUUAGAGAUGUUGAAGUUUUGUGUGGGAAGGUUAAAUACCCUACUGAUUUUCUUGUUCUUGCUUCCCCACAAGAUGCCUUUUGUCCCAUUAUUUUUGGUAGGCCCUUCUUGAAUACUGCUAGUGCUAAAAUUAAUUGUGAAAAGAAUAUUGUCACUGUUGGCAUAGAUGGUAUGUCUCAUGAGUUUAAUAUCGCUAAGUUUAGUAGACAACCUCGUGAAAGGGAACCACCUAGUAAGGAUGAGAUUAUCGGUCUUGCUUCCAUUGCUGUUCCUCCAACUGAUCCGUUAGAACAGUAUUUGCUAGACCAUGAAAACGAUAUAUUUAUGAAGUAAAGGGAAGAAAUAGAUGAAGUGUUCCUUAAACAGGAACCUAUGCUGAAACAUAACCUUCCCGUUGAAAUUCUUGGGGAUCCCCCUCCACCCAAGGGUGAUCCCGUGUUUGAACUCAAACCAUUACCGGAUAAUCUUAAGUAUUCUUAUCUUGAUGAAAAAAAUACCUUGUUAUUAUUAGUGCUAACCUUUCAGAGAAAGAAGAAGAAAGAUUAUUAAAAACUCUGAAGAAGCACCGAGCAACUAUUGGAUAUACUCUGGAUGAUCUUAAGGGCAUUAGUCCCACAUUAUGUCAACACAAGAUUUCAGUGGAGAAAGAUGCCAAACCAGUUAGAGAUCCUCAAAGACGAUUAAAUCCCAAGAUGAAGGAAGUGGUAAGAAAGGAGAUACUAAAGCUCCUUGAGGCAGGUAUUAUUUAUCCCGUUGCUGAUAGUGAAUGGGCAAGCCCUGUCCAUUGUAUCCCUAAAAAGGGAGGUAUUACCAUCGUUCCUAAUGAUAAAGAUGAAUUGAUCCCGCAAAGAAUUAUUACAGGUUAUAGGAUGGUAAUUGAUUUCCGUAAGUUAAAUAAAGCUACUAAGAAAGAUCAUUACCCUUUACCUUUUAUUGAUCAAAUGCUAGAAAGGCUAUCCAAACACACACAUUUUUGCUUUCUAGAUGGUUAUUCUGGUUUCUCUCAUAUACCUGUUUCAGCGAAGGAUCAAUCUAAAACUACUUUUACUUACCCUUUUGGUACUUUUUCUUAUAGACGCAUGCCUUUUGGUUUAUGUAAUGCACCUGCUACCUUUCAAAGAUGCAUGAUGGCUAUAUUCUCUGAUUUUUGUGAAAAGAUUUGUGAGGUAUUCAUGGAUGACUUCUCCGUCUAUGGAUCCUCUUUUGAUGAUUGUUUGAGCAACCUUGAUCGAGUUUUGCAGAGAUGCGAAGACACUAGUCUCGUCCUGAAUUGGGAAAAGUGUCACUUUAUGGUUAACGAAGGCAUUGUCUUGGGGCACAAGAUCUCCGAGAGAGGUAUUGAAGUUGAUAAAGCCAAAGUUGAUGCUAUUGAAAAGAUGCCAUGUCCCAAGGACAUAAAAGGUAUAAGAAGUUUCCUCGGUCAUGCCGGUUUUUAUAGGAGGUUCAUUAAGGACUUUUCUAAAAUCUCUAGGCCUCUGACUAAUUUAUUGCAAAAAGAUAUUCCUUUUGUCUUUGAUGAUGAUUGUGUAGAAGCUUUUGAAACACUUAAGAAAGCUUUGAUCACUGCACCUAUUGUUCAGCCACCUGAUUGGAAUUUACCUUUUGAAAUUAUGUGCGAUGCUAGUGAUUAUGCUGUAGGUGUUGUUCUAGGGCAAAGAGCCGAUAAGAAAUUGAAUGUUAUCCAGUAUGCUAGUAAGACUCUUGAUACUGCCUAGAGAAAUUAUGCUACUACUGAAAAAGAAUUCUUAGCAGUUUGUGUUUGCAUGUGAUAAGUUUAGACCUUAUAUUGUUGAUUCCAAAGUUACUAUUCACACUGAUCAUGCUGCUAUUAAAUAUCUUAUGGAAAAGAAAGAUGCUAAGCCUAGACUCAUUAGAUGGGUUCUCUUACUCCAAGAAUUUGACUUGCAUAUUAUUGAUAGAAAGGGAGCUGAGAACCCCGUUGCAGAUAACUUGUCUAGGUUAGAGAAUGGUCUUGAUGACCCACUGCCUAUUAAUGAUAGCUUUCCUGAUGAACAAUUAGCGGUCGUCAAUGCUUCUCGUACUGCUCCUUGUAUGCUGAUUAUGCUAAUUACAUUGUUGCUAAAUAUAUACCGCCUAGUUUCACAUACCAGCAACAGAAAAAGUUCUUUUAUGAUUUAAGACAUUACUUCUGGGAUGAUCCACACCUUUAUAAAGAAGGAGUAGAUGGUGUUAUUAGACGUUGUGUGCCUGAGCAUGAACAUCAACAUAUUCUACGUAAGUGUCAUUCUGAGUCUUAUGGAGGACACCAUGCUGGAGAUAGAACUGCACACAAGGUACUAUAAUCUGGUUUUUAUUGGCCUACUCUCUUCAAAGAUGCUCGUAAGUUUGUCUUAUCUUGCGAUGAAUGUCAAAGAAUAGGUAACAUUAGUAGACGUCAAGAAAUGCCUAUGAAUUAUUCUCUUGUUAUUGAACCGUUUGAUGUUUGGGGCUUUGAUUAUAUGGGACCUUUUCCUGCCUCUAAUGGUUAUACACAUAUCUUAGUUGCUGUUGAUUACGUUACUAAGUGGGUAGAAGCUAUUCCAACUAGUAGUGCUGAUCAUAACACUUCUAUUAAAAUGCUUAAAGAAGUUAUUUUUCCAAGGUUUGGAGUCCCUAGAUAUCUUAUGACUGAUGGUGGUUCACAUUUUAUUCAUGGUGCUUUCCGUAAGAUGCUUGGUAAGUAUGAUGUCAAUCAUAGAAUAGCAUCUCCUUAUCAUCCGCGGUCUAGUGGUCAAGUAGAGUUGAGCAAUAGAGAGCUCAAAUUAAUUUUGCAAAAGACUGUGAAUAGAUCUAGAAAGAAUUGGUCCAAAAAACUUGAUGAUGCAUUAUGGGCCUAUAGAACUGUAUACAAAAAUCCUAUGGGUAUGUCUCCUUAUAAGAUGGUUUAUGGAAAAGCGUGUCAUUUACCUCUUGAACUUGAACAUAAGGCAUAUUGGGCUAUCAAAGAGAUCAACUAUGACUUCAAACUUGCCGGUGAGAAGAGGUUGUUUGAUAUUAGCUCACUUGAUGAAUGGAGAACCCAAGCCUAUGAGAAUGCCAAGCUUUUCAAAGAAAAAGUCAAACGCUGGCAUGAUAAGAGGAUACAGAAGCGUGAGUUUAAUGUAGGAGAUUAUGUGUUAUUAUUCAACUCUCGUUUAAGAUUUUUUGCAGGAAAACUUCUCUCAAAAUGGGAAGGUCCCUACGUUAUCGAGGAGGUCUAUCGUUCUGGUGCUAUAAAAAUCAACAACUUCGAAGGCACAAGUCCAAGGGUGGUUAACGGUCAAAGAAUUAAACACUACAUUUCAGGUAAUCCUAUCAAUGUUGAAACUAAUAUUAUUGAAACCGUAACCCCUGAGGAAUACAUAAAGGACACUUUCCAGAACAUUUCAGACUCCGAAAAGGUAUAGGUAUAUGGUACGGUAAGUAAACCGACUCCAAAACAACUUUAAUGGCAAUUUUUAUCAGUUUUGGUUUAUUUAAGAAUUUUAGGAAGAAAGAAGUAGUCUGAAAGGGACACGAGGCUUCCACGAGAGUGGAGCCCCCCCUGUAGGGCGCGCCCCCUGUCUCGUGGGCACCUCGUGUGCCUCCCGGACUCCGUUUUCUUGUAUGUUACAUAUUUUGGUCGGUAAAAAUUCAUUAUAUAUACUCCCGAAGGUUUUGACCACCAUAUCACACAAAUAUCCUCUAUUUUCAUUUCGAGCUGCUUCUGUUGCAGAAUAAAGCAAGAUGUCUUCUCAGGAGUCAGUUGGGGAGAGCCGGGUGUCUCACCCAACGCCAAGUCCAGGAGCAAAUAACGAUGCCUAUCACUUUGGACCAUCAACGGAGGAUGAGAUGGAGGCUGAUUUGAAAAGGAUAGAUGCCAUGGAGGAAGAUCAAGAAGUUACCUCUCGUCUCCAAGCAGAAUUCACUAUGGGGGAACUACCUAGCCUGGCUGUCCCUGUAUCGGUCACCCCUUCUAACUCUAGAUUUUUUUCUUAUGAAAAUAUGAAAAAGAGUUUCACUUGUUCUCCAGAAGCUAUGCAGCAUCCUUGGGUAAAAGGAGCUUUGGCCGUUACAGGCAAGCUCCGUAAAGAAAUUAUGGACCUCAAAUAACAAGUCAAUAAGCUCGAGGAGGAGAACCGUAUCCUGAAGGGCAUCAUCACCAAGAAGAUCAUAACACGAACUGUGAAGAAGGAGAAAUAAUCACAUGGGUAUGGGUACUCCCCUUAGCAACUGCCAAGCUUGGGGGAGGUGCCCCGGUAUUGUAUCACCAUCACACUCCUAUCUUUACCGCUUUUAUUUAGUUCAAUCCUUUUAGUAGUAUCUUGAUCUAGUAGUUUGAAGUUUUGAUAUCAAGUAGUUUUGAGUUUUGCAUUGUGAUCUAUUUUCGUAAUCGAGUCCGUGUGCUAUCUAUAAUAAAGAUUAGUGUUGAGUCAAGGGCUUUGCUAUGUUGCUAUGAUCUUGAGAAAGUAGAAAGAAUAAAAGAGUUCAUAUUGAUCUUAUGGAUAGUGAUAACUUCACACAUAGAGAGUAUGAGGCAUAAAAAUUGUUGGGAGUUGAUGAACGUAGCCUUGGUCAUCGUUGCAAUUAAUAGGAAGUGAUAAAGAAAGAGGGGUUCACAUAUAGAUAUAUUAUCUUGGACAUCUUUUAUGAUUGUGAAGCACCCAUUAAGUAUGACAUGCUAAAAGAGUUGAUGUUGGACAAGGAAGACAACAUAAUGGUUUAUGUUUUCCGACAUCUUAGUUAAAGUAUAUUGUCAUUGACCUUCCAAACAUGUUGAGCUUGCCUUUCCCCCUCAUGCUAGCCAAAUUCCUUGCACCAAGUAGAAAUACUACUUGUGCUUCCAAAUAUCCUUAAACCUAGUUUUGCCAUGAGAGUCCACCAUACCUACCUAUGGAUUGAGUAAGAUCCUUCAAGUAAGUUGUCAUCGGUGCAAGCAAUAAAAAUUGCUCUCUAAAUAUGUAUGACUUAUUAGUACAGAGAAAAUAAGCUUUGUACGAACUUGUUGUGGAAGUAAUAAAAGCGACGGACUGCAUAAUAAAGGUCCACAUACAAGGGGCAAUAUAAAGUGACGUUCUUUUGCAUUAAGAUUUUAUGCAUCAACCCUAAACGCGCAUGACAACCUCUGCUUCUCUCUGCGAAGGGCCUAUCUUUUACUUUAUGUUUUUACUUUAUGCUUGAGUCAAGGUGGUCCUCACCUUUCCCUUUUUCAUUUUAUCCUUUGGCAAGCUCCUCGUGUUUGAAAGAUCAUGAUAUAUAUAUCCAACUGGAUGUAAGUUAGCAUGGGCUAUUAUUGUUGACAUCACCUAAAGGUGAAUACGUUGGGAGGCAACACAAUAAGCCCCUAUCUUUCUCAGUGUCCGG
This 11921-nucleotide long non-coding RNA is filed under the name Triticum aestivum (bread wheat). Its description in RNAcentral is "long non-coding RNA (TAES_LNC016596)". The record is from RNAcentral. Lineage: Eukaryota; Viridiplantae; Streptophyta; Magnoliopsida; Poales; Poaceae.